RNAcentral lists this ribosomal RNA (484 nucleotides) under uncultured bacterium. RNAcentral's name for it is "partial 16S ribosomal RNA". It matches the Rfam family "Bacterial small subunit ribosomal RNA", at positions 28 to 507 of the family's 1533-position model. The record is from RNAcentral.
AUUGAACGCUGGCGGAAUGCUUUACACAUGCAAGUCGAACGGCAGCACGGGGGCAGCCCUGGUGGCGAGUGGCGAACGGGUGAGUAAUACAUCGGAACGUGCCCGGUCGUGGGGGAUAACGUAGCGAAAGUUACGCUAAUACCGCAUACGAUCUGAGGAUGAAAGCGGGGGACCUUCGGGCCUCGCGCGAUCGGAGCGGCCGAUGUCAGAUUAGGUAGUUGGUGGGGUAAAGGCCUACCAAGCCGACGAUCUGUAGCUGGUCUGAGAGGACGACCAGCCACCGUGGCACUGGGCCCGGGCCCAGCCCCCUCCGGGGGGCCGCGGUGGGGAUUUUGGGACAGGGGGCGCAAGCCUGACCCAGCCUUCCCGCGUGAAGGACGAGGCCCUUCGGUUUGUAAAGUUUUUUUGUACGGAAAGAAAGGCCUCGGGCUAAUCCCGGGGGCUCAUGACGUUCCCGAAAAAAAAAGCCCCGGCUAACUCCGUC